Paramormyrops kingsleyae is the source of this 369-nucleotide long non-coding RNA. RefSeq lists it as uncharacterized. NCBI's taxonomy places the organism in Eukaryota, Metazoa, Chordata, Actinopteri, Osteoglossiformes, Mormyridae. The record is from RefSeq and is a predicted model, not a curated record.
UGUGGAGAGACAAAGGUGAGGGUGACUGAUGCCCUGCACAGCUCCUCCUCUGGACAGGAAAGUCAGUCACACCUCACACCGGGAACAGGACUCAAAUGCGGGAGGAGGUAUGACAAGCUUGUGGAAACCAAGUCAGACUACAAGAAAAUUGCAAACAUUCAUAAACAUUCAGGUUAUGACUUUUUUUCAACAAAACAAAGGCAGAAUGAGCAUCACAAACUGUAACAGGUGAGUGAUCUGUCUGGGGGAAAAUUGUAUACAGACAAAAUCAUGGUUUGGGCUUUAAGAAUUAUAGGCUCUGUUUGGCAUGUUUUGGAGGUUCUGGAGGAAUUACCAUCAACAGUGACAUACUGAUUGAACACAUAAGAA